AGUGAACGCUGGCGGUAGGCCUAACACAUGCAAGUCGAACGGCAGCACAGUAAGAGCUUGCUCUUACGGGUGGCGAGUGGCGGACGGGUGAGGAAUACAUCGGAAUCUACUUUUUCGUGGGGGAUAACGUAGGGAAACUUACGCUAAUACCGCAUACGACCUACGGGUGAAAGCAGGGGAUCUUCGGACCUUUCGCGAUUGAAUGAGCCGAUGUCGGAUUAGCUAGUUGGCGGGGUAAAGGCCCACCAAGGCGACGAUCCGUAGCUGGUCUGAGAGGAUGAUCAGACACACUGGAACUGAGACACGGUCCAGACUCCUACGGGAGGCAGCAGUGGGGAAUAUUGGACAAUGGGCGCAAGCCUGAUCCAGCAAUACCGCGUGGGUGAAGAAGGCCUUCGGGUUGUAAAGCCCUUUUGUUGGGAAAGAAAAGCAGCAGGUUAAUACCCCGCUGUUCUGACGGUACCCAAAGAAUAAGCACCGGCUAACUUCGUG
RNAcentral lists this ribosomal RNA (492 nucleotides) under uncultured bacterium. Its description in RNAcentral is "partial 16S ribosomal RNA". It matches the Rfam family "Bacterial small subunit ribosomal RNA", at positions 29 to 507 of the family's 1533-position model. The record is from RNAcentral.